UACGGGGGGUGCGAGCGUUGUCCGGAAUUACUGGGCGUAAAGCGCGCGUAGGCGGCUUUGCAAGUCGGGUGUGAAAUCCCCAGGCUUAACCUGGGAACUGCAUUCGAGACUGCAUUGCUAGAGUAUGGGAGAGGGAAGUGGAAUUUCCGGUGUAGCGGUGAAAUGCGUAGAUAUCGGAAGGAACAUCAGUGGCGAAAGCGACUUCCUGGACCAAUACUGACGCUCAUGUGCGAAAGCGUGGGGAGCAAACAGG
This 253-nucleotide ribosomal RNA is filed under the name uncultured bacterium. Its description in RNAcentral is "partial 16S ribosomal RNA". It matches the Rfam family "Bacterial small subunit ribosomal RNA", at positions 524 to 776 of the family's 1533-position model. The record is from RNAcentral.